CCCUUAGACGUUCUGGGCCGCACGCGCGCUACACUGACCAGUGCAACAAGCAUCCGUCCUUGGCCGAUAGGCUCGGGCAAUCUUUGAACGCUGGUCGUGAUGGGGAUAGACUUUUGCAAUUUUUGGUCUUCAACGAGGAAUUCCUAGUAAACGCAAGUCAUCAACUUGCAUUGAUUACGUCCCUGCCCUUUGUACACACCGCCCGUCGCACCUACCGAUUGAAUGGUCCGGUGAAGCCUCCGGAUUGGCGCGCACCUCGGUGCCGCCGAGAAGUUGGCUAAACCUUACCAUUUAGAGGAAGGUGAAGUCGUAACA
RNAcentral lists this ribosomal RNA (315 nucleotides) under uncultured eukaryote. RNAcentral describes it as "partial 18S ribosomal RNA". It matches the Rfam family "Eukaryotic small subunit ribosomal RNA", at positions 1470 to 1796 of the family's 1831-position model. The record is from RNAcentral.